This 1205-nucleotide ribosomal RNA is filed under the name Micrococcus sp. Its description in RNAcentral is "bacterial SSU rRNA". It matches the Rfam family "Bacterial small subunit ribosomal RNA", at positions 195 to 1411 of the family's 1533-position model. The record is from RNAcentral. Lineage: Bacteria; Bacillati; Actinomycetota; Actinomycetes; Micrococcales; Micrococcaceae.
GGUGUUGGAAAGAUUUAUCGGUUUUGGAUGGACUCGCGGCCUAUCAGCUUGUUGGUGAGGUAAUGGCUCACCAAGGCGACGACGGGUAGCCGGCCUGAGAGGGUGACCGGCCACACUGGGACUGAGACACGGCCCAGACUCCUACGGGAGGCAGCAGUGGGGAAUAUUGCACAAUGGGCGCAAGCCUGAUGCAGCGACGCAGCGUGAGGGAUGACGGCCUUCGGGUUGUAAACCUCUUUCAGCAGGGAAGAAGCGAAAGUGACGGUACCUGCAGAAGAAGCACCGGCUAACUACGUGCCAGCAGCCGCGGUAAUACGUAGGGUGCGAGCGUUAUCCGGAAUUAUUGGGCGUAAAGAGCUCGUAGGCGGUUUGUCGCGUCUGUCGUGAAAGUCCGGGGCUUAACCCCGGAUGUGCAGUGGGUACGGGCAGACUAGAGUGCAGUAGGGGAGUCUGGAAUUCCUGGUGUAGCGGUGGAAUGCGCAGAUAUCAGGAGGAACACCGAUGGCGAAGGCAGGUCUCUGGGCUGUAACUGACGCUGAGGAGCGAAAGCAUGGGGAGCGAACAGGAUUAGAUACCCUGGUAGUCCAUGCCGUAAACGUUGGGCACUAGGUGUGGGGACCAUUCCACGGUUUCCGCGCCGCUAGCUAACGCAUUAAGUGCCCCGCCUGGGGAGUACGGCCGCAAGGCUAAAACUCAAAGGAAUUGACGGGGGCCCGCACAAGCGGCGGAGCAUGCGGAUUAAUUCGAUGCAACGCGAAGAACCUUACCAAGGCUUGACAUGUUCUCGAUCGCCGUGGAGAUACGGCUUCUUCUUUGAGGCUGGUGCACAGGUGGUGCAUGGUUGUCGUCAGCUCGUGUCGUGAGAUGUUGGGUUAAGUCCCGCAACGAGCGCAACCCUCGUUCCAUGUUGCCAGCACGUGAUGGUGGGGACUCAUGGGAGACUGCCGGGGUCAACUCGGAGGAAGGUGAGGACGACGUCAAAUCAUCAUGCCCCUUAUGUCUUGGGCUUCACGCAUGCUACAAUGGCUGGUACAAUGGGUUGCGAUACUGUGAGGUGGAGCUAAUCCCAAAAAGCCGGUCUCAGUUCGGAUUGGGGUCUGCAACUCGACUACAUGAAGUCGGAGUCGCUAGUAAUCGCAGAUCAGCAACGCUGCGGUGAAUACGUUCCCGGGCCUUGUACACACCGCCCGUCAAGUCACGAAAGU